RNAcentral lists this long non-coding RNA (765 nucleotides) under Gossypium barbadense (sea-island cotton). RNAcentral's name for it is "long non-coding RNA (GBAR_LNC022903)". The record is from RNAcentral. Lineage: Eukaryota; Viridiplantae; Streptophyta; Magnoliopsida; Malvales; Malvaceae.
CCAAAAGAUUGCAGCAACGAUGAGAUUAAUCCAAUUACAGGAAUUGGUAUCCUAAAUGGCUUUUAGGUACGUAGCUUCAUUGACGGUACAAACUUGUUAAAAUUUCCAGCAUUCAUGUCUUUCGUUUUCCCUCAAGUAAACGUAGUCAAUACUGCAAAUGGUGUGGAAGUAUUGUACAUUGUGGCCCAAAUGUCCAAAAAUUCCCAUUGCUUGUAAAUCAAGUUUGGGUGAGAGAGAUGGGAGGAAGCAACAGCAAGUGUGAAGUCAAUAGACAAUUGAUAGUCUUAGGGUGAGUUUGGAUGGGCGGUGCGUUUAUCUGCGGUUAGUGUAAAAAUAGUGGUGGCGGUGAGAUUAGUUACUGUAGCAACACUGUAGCGUGAGACAAAAAAUAGGCUAAACGCACUGCACCACACUCAAUCGCCCAUCCAAACCCACCCUUAGUUUUAGCCUUUUUUUGUCGAGUUAAAAGUAUAGUCAAUAGACAAUGAAUAGUCUUAGUCUUUUUUUGUGGAGUUAAAAGUAUAGUCAAUAGACAAUUGAUAGUUAAAUCUGUAGCAGUCUUCUUCCUCUUUAUUCUUUUGUGUGGAAAAUUAUUUGACACCAAACUUGACUUUUUAUAAGGAUAUUUGGCUAAACGAGAAAUCGAAACCCAGCACGUUAGGACACUUUUUCUCGAAUUUCCAAACACAAAAUAUUGUCUUAAUUUAAAACUUUUCCCUCUUUUGAAUAAUUGUGAAUACAAUACCUAAACGAUGUGUAUUUUGU